This 1359-nucleotide ribosomal RNA is filed under the name uncultured bacterium. RNAcentral's name for it is "bacterial SSU rRNA". It matches the Rfam family "Bacterial small subunit ribosomal RNA", at positions 28 to 1381 of the family's 1533-position model. The record is from RNAcentral.
GAUGAACGCUAGCUACAGGCUUAACACAUGCAAGUCGAGGGGCAUCAGGAAGAAAGCUUGCUUUCUUUGCUGGCGACCGGCGCACGGGUGAGUAACACGUAUCCAACCUGCCCUUUACUCGGGGAUAGCCUUUCGAAAGAAAGAUUAAUACCCGAUAGCAUAAUGAUUCCGCAUGGUUUCAUUAUUAAAGGAUUCCGGUAAAGGAUGGGGAUGCGUUCCAUUAGGUUGUUGGUGAGGUAACGGCCCACCAAGCCUUCGAUGGAUAGGGGUUCUGAGAGGAAGGUCCCCCACAUUGGAACUGAGACACGGUCCAAACUCCUACGGGAGGCAGCAGUGAGGAAUAUUGGUCAAUGGGCGCUAGCCUGAACCAGCCAAGUAGCGUGAAGGAUGAAGGCUCUAUGGGUCGUAAACUUCUUUUAUAUAAGAAUAAAGUGCAGUAUGUAUACUGUUUUGUAUGUAUUAUAUGAAUAAGGAUCGGCUAACUCCGUGCCAGCAGCCGCGGUAAUACGGAGGAUCCGAGCGUUAUCCGGAUUUAUUGGGUUUAAAGGGAGCGUAGGUGGACUGGUAAGUCAGUUGUGAAAGUUUGCGGCUCAACCGUAAAAUUGCAGUUGAUACUGUCAGUCUUGAGUACAGUAGAGGUGGGCGGAAUUCGUGGUGUAGCGGUGAAAUGCUUAGAUAUCACGAAGAACUCCGAUUGCGAAGGCAGCUCACUGGACUGCAACUGACACUGAUGCUCGAAAGUGUGGGUAUCAAACAGGAUUAGAUACCCUGGUAGUCCACACAGUAAACGAUGAAUACUCGCUGUUUGCGAUAUACAGUAAGCGGCCAAGCGAAAGCAUUAAGUAUUCCACCUGGGGAGUACGCCGGCAACGGUGAAACUCAAAGGAGUUGACGGGGGCCCGCACAAGCGGAGGAACAUGUGGUUUAAUUCGAUGAUACGCGAGGAACCUUACCCGGGCUUAAAUUGCAGUGGAAUGAUGUGGAAACAUGUCAGUGAGCAAUCACCGCUGUGAAGGUGCUGCAUGGUUGUCGUCAGCUCGUGCCGUGAGGUGUCGGCUUAAGUGCCAUAACGAGCGCAACCCUUAUCUUCAGUUACUAACAGGUCAUGCUGAGGACUCUGGAGAGACUGCCGUCGUAAGAUGUGAGGAAGGUGGGGAUGACGUCAAAUCAGCACGGCCCUUACGUCCGGGGCUACACACGUGUUACAAUGGGGGGUACAGAAGGCAGCUAGCGGGUGACCGUAUGCUAAUCCCAAAAUCCUCUCUCAGUUCGGAUCGAAGUCUGCAACCCGACUUCGUGAAGCUGGAUUCGCUAGUAAUCGCGCAUCAGCCACGGCGCGGUGAAUACGUUCCCGGGCCU